UACGUAGGGGCCGAGCGUUGUCCGGAGUUAUUGGGCGUAAAGCGCGCGCAGGCGGCCUCGCGCGCCCGACGUGAAAGCCCCCCGGCUUAACCGGGGAGGGUCGUUGGGGGACGGCGGGGCUUGAGGGCGGGAGAGGGUGGUGGAAUUCCCGGUGUAGUGGUGAAAUGCGUAGAGAUCGGGAGGAACACCCGUGGCGAAGGCGGCCACCUGGGCCGACCCUGACGCUGAGGCGCGAAGGCGUGGGGAGCGAACGGG
Molecule: ribosomal RNA, 255 nt
Filed under: uncultured bacterium
Lineage: Bacteria
Description: partial 16S ribosomal RNA
Rfam family: Bacterial small subunit ribosomal RNA
Source: RNAcentral